RNAcentral lists this ribosomal RNA (216 nucleotides) under uncultured bacterium. RNAcentral describes it as "partial 16S ribosomal RNA". It matches the Rfam family "Bacterial small subunit ribosomal RNA", at positions 118 to 334 of the family's 1533-position model. The record is from RNAcentral.
UCGGUAACCUGCCUCAUACAGGGGAAUAGCAGCUGGAAACGGCUGAUAAAACCGCAUAAGCGCACAGUGCCGCAUGGCACAGUGUGAAAAACUCCGGUGGUAUGAGAUGGACCCGCGUCUGAUUAGCUGGUUGGCGGGGUAACGGCCCACCAAGGCGACGAUCAGUAGCCGGCCUGAGAGGGUGAUCGGCCACAUUGGGACUGAGACACGGCCCAA